AGGUCACAUCCAACAAAGAAACAGGGACCUCAGUCCUAUAAACACCACCAACAGAAUGAACUUGGAAGCAGAUUUUCCCCCAGAGCAUCCAGAUAAGAACUCAGUCCACUCAACAUCUUCAGCUUUGUGAUAUUCCAGGCAUAUUGUGCUGAACUUCUGACUUACAGAACUUCAGUCCUGAAAGGAUUAUAAAAGCAAGAAAGAAACAUGGACUCUAAGAAUUAACAACAGUGUGGGAAGCCACGGAGGAGAUUUAUGACUACCCUAAAUUGGUUUGUGUUUGGAUGGAUGACUAUUUCCUGCUCUUUAUUACUAGAAAUUGGCAGCAACAUCUCAGAUUGGAUAAUGGUACUGGUGGAAUAAUUACCAGAAAGAAAAAAACAUCCCCACUAAAGUGAUGAAAACAUGUACAGAUUGUCCAACCUUUUGCUUUUGUACCACUUCCCCUUCCAGAUGUCAGGGUUGUGAUUUAUUUCUCCCUAAGAGUUUAAAAAUAAAACUCUCAUCAUAAAAUUU
Homo sapiens (human) is the source of this 516-nucleotide long non-coding RNA. NCBI's taxonomy places the organism in Eukaryota, Metazoa, Chordata, Mammalia, Primates, Hominidae. The record is from Ensembl.